GUCUGGAGAAGUCCUUACCUUUAAGGAGUAGAAAAGUGCAGGACCCUGGAGGCCAAACAAGCAAUCCUGUCUGGCUCCUGGAUGCAGGCUCAUGUUCUCGCGGACAGCUGCUCCAGGGAGCCUCUCCGUUGGGACCCUGAACAGCAUUUAGGAAUGAGGAGACCACUACUGAGGAUGCAUCAGUUGAAUCAAAUCCUGAAGGCCUUCCUCUCCAAACAGAAGUAAUGCACAGUUUUGUAGCUGGGAAUGUAAGAAGGCAUUGGAAUUGCAGGGCCACCUGGAGACACUGGUCUGUACCCUAGGAGCAUGGAAAGCAGCUGACACGUCUCAAACACCAGGAUAACUCUGGGAGGAAUGAGUGGAGGGCCUGGAAGCCAUCCCUUUGAAACGCAAACACUAAACAUCUUACCUCUGUCUGCUGGCCCUUCAGUAAGGGCCAGGCAGAAAGAGCCGAUGGCUCCUUCACUCUGACCGCCCUGCUCCCGAGCGUCCACCUUACUUCCCCUUCAGCUCACCCUGAUGAUAGUCUCUCUACCUUUUGUUUCAGCAGAGUUGAUUCCCAGCUCUCACUAUUGAAGUUUUCAAUAAAUCUG
Condylura cristata (star-nosed mole) is the source of this 593-nucleotide long non-coding RNA. RefSeq lists it as uncharacterized. Lineage: Eukaryota; Metazoa; Chordata; Mammalia; Eulipotyphla; Talpidae. The record is from RefSeq and is a predicted model, not a curated record. The transcript has 4 exons.